GCAGCGCGUGCUUGAGCACGAUAUUGCCAAAGCUCACGCCCUUGAGGCGGGCAGUGCGGAUGUAUUGGGCCGUCAUGACCUCGGUCAUCGAGGCCCGCGUCAUCCUUGCAAUAUAUCCCAUCCCGUAAAGCGAGAUCGUGAGGACAGGCAGGAAGAAGUUCUCGAAAUUGG
RNAcentral lists this non-coding RNA (171 nucleotides) under uncultured Sulfitobacter sp. RNAcentral describes it as "Ruegeria cis52 sRNA". It matches the Rfam family "Ruegeria cis52 sRNA". From Rfam's summary of the family: Cis-encoded. Targets oligo/dipeptide ABC transporter. Lineage: Bacteria; Pseudomonadati; Pseudomonadota; Alphaproteobacteria; Rhodobacterales; Roseobacteraceae. The record is from RNAcentral.